UCCGAGUUGACCCCGGCAGUCUCCUAUGAGUCCCCACCAUAACGUGCUGGCAACAUAGGACGAGGGUUGCGCUCGUUGCGGGACUUAACCCAACAUCUCACGACACGAGCUGACGACAACCAUGCACCACCUGUAUACCAGCCUUGCGGGGCCUACAUCUCUGCAGGUUUCCGGUAUAUGUCAAGCCUUGGUAAGGUUCUUCGCGUUGCAUCGAAUUAAUCCGCAUGCUCCGCCGCUUGUGCGGGCCCCCGUCAAUUCCUUUGAGUUUUAGCCUUGCGGCCGUACUCCCCAGGCGGGGCACUUAAUGCGUUAGCGACGGCGCGGAUUCCGUUGGUUGGAACCCACACCUAGUGCCCAACGUUUACGGCAUGGACUAC
RNAcentral lists this unclassified non-coding RNA (377 nucleotides) under uncultured Micrococcales bacterium. RNAcentral's name for it is "contains 16S-23S intergenic spacer region". Lineage: Bacteria; Bacillati; Actinomycetota; Actinomycetes; Micrococcales. The record is from RNAcentral.